RNAcentral lists this unclassified non-coding RNA (983 nucleotides) under Hevea brasiliensis (rubber tree). The record is from RNAcentral. Lineage: Eukaryota; Viridiplantae; Streptophyta; Magnoliopsida; Malpighiales; Euphorbiaceae.
UUUUCAAUUUUCUUAGAAAACUACCCUAAUUUUCCACAAGUGAACAUGCCCUAAACUCUCUACUUCAGAAUUCAGCCCAAGCAAACUUUAUCUAACAAAUAUAUCUAGUAUCACUUAUUACUUUGCAUAUCUACCUUAAGUUCACAACACUUACUUCACUCACUAGACCUGCCAAAAUGACAUAUUGUAUAUCUUGACUUUGCAAAUGAGUCUACGCCUGCAUUAAAGUUUACCAUACUUGAAAAACACAGAAUGCCUCACUGCCUGUAUGAGUAGUUCUUAUACUUGUCUAGUAAUAAAUACUACUAAUUAGAACUACUUCAAAAAAUCCCAUUGAACCUUUGAUGCUCUUUUAAGGUAUUGGACACAUGAUCACCCAGAAGAUGAGCAUGACCCAAUUCUAAGAAAAGAUCAAAAGGAACCUUAAGCACUUAACACCAAAAACCAUGGUAUUGCAUAAUAGAAACCAGAUAAAAGUUAUGAUGAUACCAAGAUAUUCAAAUUAUUCUAAAAACUUCAACAACCUGAGCAUGGCAUUGGAAGAACACCUUAAAAUGGACUUAGCAACCCAGUAACAUAAUUAUUAAAGGCAACCCUCAUGCUAAGGCUCACCAGGAGGUGCAAGACUCUAAAAAGGCAUGUGUUCUUUAUUUUGACCUUCGGCAAGCACUUCCAUUGGCAAAAAAUAGUACCACUCAACUCGAAAUUUACUGAUUUACCAGAAUUCGAUAUUGACACACUAGAAAGUUUUCGGAGUUAGUAUCGGUGGAGAUAACUAAUCGCCAAAAUUUCCUCAAACUAGCACAUCCAAUAUCGCAAACCUCCCAUAUUUCCAUUUUCAACACUACUACUUAUCUUUUAAAAAAAAUGUAAAAUCUACACCUAUUUUAAGAUUUAUGCCAAUUUAACUCGAGAACAAAAUAAUACUUUAGUUCUUAAAGAUGAAGAAGAUGGUGAAGAUAUUGAUUUUGAAGAUGAGUAUU